Molecule: non-coding RNA, 73 nt
Organism: Geobacillus sp. Y4.1MC1
Lineage: Bacteria; Bacillati; Bacillota; Bacilli; Caryophanales; Anoxybacillaceae
Source: Rfam
GGGGCCUUAGCUCAGCUGGGAGAGCGCCUGCUUUGCACGCAGGAGGUCAUCGGUUCGAUCCCGAUAGGCUCCA